Molecule: long non-coding RNA, 1998 nt
Organism: Cercocebus atys (sooty mangabey)
Lineage: Eukaryota; Metazoa; Chordata; Mammalia; Primates; Cercopithecidae
Exons: 2
Source: RefSeq, a predicted model, not a curated record
AUCCACAGGCCACACCUGUCCCGAGAGUGUUGGGAAGAGGUACCCGCACUCCCUUCCCACCCUCCUUCCUCCUUCCAUGGCCAAUGAACGAUGCAUCACCUUCUGAGAAGCCUCCCUUGGACCCCGGAAAUAUCAGUCUCUGGCCUUCCACACAUGGCUGGCACCACUGGGGCCUCACCGCAGGCCUCGUUCCAAUCCCCAGCUGCUGUUGGUUUCCCUGGCCCCUUUGGCAUUCAAGCAGCAGACACAAGCAUGCCAGGUAGUACAGGCUCAAGAUAUGUCCACUGAAUAAGUGAAUGACAGCUGCUAAAGCUAACACACAUUCAUUCAUUCAGCCCAUCACAACUGAGCCCCUACCACAUCCUUGGUGCCGUGUGGAUGGACAGGUUAGCGCAGGGACAGGCGGUGCUUAGAAAGGGCUCGUGCAGGACUCCGAUGGCUCACCCUGGGUGGAAGCGUGUGUUCUAUGGUUGCUAUAUGCAGGGCCCUGUGCUGAGAACCUGAUAGGCAGCUUCUCACUGAGUUCCUAUAAUGGUUCUAUGGGAAAGGUGAUCUUAUAGACCCAUUUUAUGGGUGAGGAAACUGAAGUUUACAGAGGUGAAGUGAGUUUCCCAGGACGAAGACAGUUUGAAUAUCCUGGGUCUGACUCCAGACCAUGUCCUUUAACUAGAAGGGGAUCUGACUGUGCCCUUCGACAGUGGGUGACCUGCUAAGUGCAAAGUGAGGACAAUGAAAUAGCUACACCCUCAUGGUGGUGGGGGUGGUGAGGGCGAGGCAAUGGUACCUGGAUAGCUGGGUCCAGGACCUGGCCAGAGUUGGUGCUAGGUGUCGAGUGGACAGUAUGAUGGUAUUAUUUUGCAUUUGGGCACUGAGCAUGGAUGUCUGGGAUGGGAAGAUGCCUUAGGAGGGCAGGGGGUGGAAACCAGGGGAGGAUCGCACUCUUUCUGUCCCUUGAGAAUGUUCCCUGUAUAUCACAGAAUGGUUUCCCAAGUUGGGAGCAAGUAGAGAAGGCAGAGUCAGAAUUCAACAUAGCUUGUCUCCGAAUUGGACAUGGGGACUGGGGAAGAAGGGAUCCCUGUUCCUGGAUGUCUGGGACAGAGACCCGAGGAGAGGGUCACAGGGGUCAGUAGGUCCAGCCUAGGAUGGUGGUGUAGUCUCUUGCAGGGCAGGGCACAGGGCUGAUUUGUAAACUCAACUCAACUCAACUCAAAGAGUGAGCCCCGGUGACUGCUCCUGUGUCCCUCUUCCUGCCAGGGCUGGGACGAGGUGGAAUUGUGAUGCCCACUUGACUGAUGAGGACUAUGAAGCUCAGGGCAGGAUGGGAGCUCGGGACCUCACAUUCUCACCUAAGACUCUUCCAGCUCCCUCGACAGUAUGGGGGGAAACCGCUCCUAUGAUUAAUUAUCUCCCACCGGGUCCCUCCCAAAACAUGUGGGAUUUGUGGGAGCUACAAUUCAAGAUGAGAUUUGGGUGAGGACACAGCCAAACCAUAUCAGGACCCAAGUCCAGUUCUGUUCAUGAACUGGUCCUGCCUGCAGGGGGGCCUUUAAGCAGAGCAAUGGCGCAGCCAGGAACUCCCAGGAUGGCUUUGAUGUCAAAUAUUCCCUGCCUCUAUCCCGAUUCUUUAUUCAAAGCAUGUAGUCUCUGUAUUAUCUGUACAUGUUUUAGAACCCCAAAGCUCUAAAGCCCCGCUCCUUUCUGUUGAUUUCCAGAGGAUGAAGCCCCAUUCCUUCCAAGUGGCUACCCUGGGAUCAGCCACCAGAGGCUAAACUUCAGAAAAAGACUGCAGAGAAGGGCUACAGGUAGGGGAGGACAUCUGGUAAACAGGGAACAACUAAGUGGAAAUAUAUUCAGCCUUAAUUAAUACUGAAAACAAAACAAAACACAUAAGUUCAGUAAUACUUGCCCAUUAAACCAACAAAAGUAAGUACAAUUGUUAAAACUAAUGAUUGCAGGGUUGUAGAGAACCUGGUGAAAUAGCUUAUUCCUCCCAUAUAA